ACUUUCUCUUUCUCCGAGAUCCAAGAUCGACAAGCCUCGAUUAAAGCACAGGUAUUCUGAAUCUUUACUACAUACUCCUUUAUCGACAGAUUACCUUUCUUAAGCGAAUGUAAAUCAUGGCGAAUGCAAGAUAACUUGACACCUGUGACGGCAGUGAAAAGGCAAGUGGCAGUGUUCCAAACAUCGCACGCCAUCCUAGCAUAUGUAAAAGAAGACAACAGUGAAGGACUAAUAGUAGAAAAUAACCAGAAAGAGGCAAGUAACCUGUCCUGCUGAACUAAUGCUGAGGCAUCCGGAUUUGGAACUAGAGAUCCCUCCGAAGACGGCACAAAAUGCGGCAGAACAGGUAACGUUCCCUCCAAAAAAAACCAGUCAAUUCAUAACCUUCAAUAAUCAAGUGAAUAUGUUGCUGCCUCUGUCAAUCAUUGUUGUCCGACGUUUACCAUGUUAAUAUCUACAAAAACUUGAAAGAAAAAUAGAAUAUGCAGAGAAUGAUUUUUGUAUUAUUAUCUUGAAUUUAACCAGUACAACUAUAGUAUUUAUAAAAUGUGUAUGAGUAACUGCUGCUAACAAUCUCACUUAACAGCAUAACUGCUUGUAUAACAAACUAACAACUAAUAGACUAAUAGAGUCUUUAUCUAUACUCUAACACUUUAAACAGAGCAAGUUAGAUUCAUCCUGGUUGGUUUUAAUUAAGUAAAGCAGUUCAUUUUCUAUCAUAGGCAAUUAAUUUAAAAGUUGAAAAUUUAGUUUUAACACCUAUGAAAAACAAAAAUAUGGCAAUAUGAAAAAUGAAAUAAAAAAUCGAGUAAUAUGAAAGAAUGAGAUGAAAACCCCUUUAUGCAUUUGGAUGACAUGAUUGAGAAGUUGUAACUACUGAAAACCAGAGCCAAAAAUGAAAGGAAAUAAAAACUGUUGAAAUCGUUUAGGGCCUCCAUCCCCUUCUUCACCAUCAUGGCUAAAGCUUCUUUUGGUCUCGGCAGGUCUCAUUUCUGUAGCAUCAGCAUCACUCUCUGCAUCUACGUAAAAUACAAGAACACCACAUCUCUCCACCUUGAUAAUUUUUCUGCUGCUUCUUCAUAAUGAUGGAAAUUUUUGAUGUAGAAAUCAAAUGAUGCCUCCUCAUAAUUCUUGUCUCUUUUAACCAUUUUGAUGCUAGAUAGAAUAAACACGUGAUCACCCAUGCAUUUCUCUGACUCAGAAGCAUCCAAGAAAGAUAUGGUACUUUUGAACUUUUCAUGACCACCAUCAGCGGCUGUAAGUUAGUAGCCACAAAUACAUUUAAGACUUCUCAAGCGAGGGCAGUGAGCGAGAUCAGCCACAAGGCAGAUAACAAAAACGAAAAAUCUGCUCCCACCACCCCCAUUUGGGGCUAUCUUCAAACUUAAGGAAGAAUUCAUACUCUGAUACUUGAACUUAUUUGUUGAAAUUUUGUUUCUUGGGAAACAACAAAUCAAACUUGGAAGGAUAUCACCCAGGUAUUUCCUACCAUAUGUCGCUGCCCGUUCCUUAGCUAGGGAUCCAAUUUUGAGCAUGGCAUUUGCCUCAAUGUUAUUAGUUGACUCUUGAUUCAAGUUGAAGCAAUUACAGAAUAACAUGCAAAACACACCAUCACCUUCAUCACCUAACGAACCAAACUGAUAUAAAUUUUGAUCUGCAAAGGGAACUUUUUCUAAUGAUGUGCAGUCAUGUACAUUCAAGUCGAGCAGAUAUGGUGGAAGCUCUGAGAGUAAUUUGAGGCUCUUGCAACGAUCCAUAUGCUUACACAUAAGGCUUUUGAACCUUAAGCUUGGUGAGCGCACAUCAACAAUUGGAAAUUUAACGAUUACACAACCACUAAGAU
Molecule: long non-coding RNA, 1843 nt
Filed under: Gossypium barbadense (sea-island cotton)
Lineage: Eukaryota; Viridiplantae; Streptophyta; Magnoliopsida; Malvales; Malvaceae
Description: long non-coding RNA (GBAR_LNC023211)
Source: RNAcentral